CUAAAUCCCAAAAGAAUCUAGAAAGGAACAAAUACAACAAGGGUAGUAAGGAAGCCCCGGAAAGAUCAUAGAACACUAGCCCCAUAAACUAGUUAUGGCAUGCAAAUCUGCAAUGGCACUUAUUGGAUUGUAGGAAACAGUCUUAGAGCAUGCAUCUCAGGUUUGUCUCCUCUUUCUGAGAUCGAUGCUUGGUGUUUAUGUUCUGGAUUGGAGCAGCAACAUUACCAUGUUCAGUUUUGCGAGUAAUAGUGCUUGGAAGUAAGAGAUGUUGCACUUCUUUUCACCAUGUGCCUCAAGGGAUUAUGGCUAUCUUGCAUUUGCAUGUGAAUCUAGUGAUUUGUUUAUGAUAAUGUGAGUCUUCCUGCUUCUGGCUCUUCUAAACUUAAUGUUGAUAGCUCUAGUAGGUUUAUAGAUAGCAGUGCGAUAUAAUUUAGAGCAUGGAUUAUCCUUCCCAACAAAUCUUAUCUCUUUUUGUCUUUAUUUGAUCAAAUUAGACCAAGUAAUGUAAUUAUGCUUUUAUUACUUUUCUAUUUAAUUGAAUAUUAUUUACCAACAAGAUAUUGGUCUAGUGGAUUAAGGCUAUGCUAGAUUCAUAGGAUGACUAAAAGGUCAAUGAUUCGAUUAUUGAGAACGACACUUAUUGGGAGGAGCAACCACGUACCCCGAAAGAGAUUAGUUAUUUAAUCAAAAAGGUGAGAGAUACUAGCGAUACUACUAAAAAAAAUUAAAUGAUACAUUUUAAUUAGUAUGGAAUGCAAAAAGAAACAAAGGAUAUCCGUUUUUUAAGAUUGUAUUGUGGAGUCUCAUAUUGGAUAAGGAUGUUGGCAUCCAGGAUUUGGAUGUGGAAAUAGAUUCUAAUGUAAAUCUUACUUUGGUUUUUCUCUUAUUGCUUUCCGGACGAAAUUAGAGUUAGGGUUCGAAAAUUAUUUGUUUUGGUAUUUUACCUUUUGCGUAACGUAUCUCUUUUAGAGUAUGUGAUUUGUCCCUCCAAUAAAUGUUGUUUACAUAGAUUAAAUUCUUAAUAUUUUAGUCAUUUUAGGGAUCUAAUGAAAUAUUGUACUACUAAAUUAACGUCUUAUCUUAUUAGUGGGUUAUAACAUUAUAGUACACCAUAAUUUUUUGAUGAGCAAAAGUAAUAUUUUUACAUUAUGAAGAAGAAUAAAACAAGAGUAUUAUAAGGUUUAAUACAUUUUCAUACAGAAUUUGGGGUUGGCAACCCAAUUAAUAAAUGUAUCCUUCAUCAUAUUUAUAACAAUACUAAUAGAUGUGCAGAUCUUGUUGCUAAAGAUGGUCAUCAUGGUCCUUUUUCAUUGUAUUUAGUUUCAGUCUUAUCAUUCUCAGCUUUUUCCGAGGACUCGUGGAAUAUCUUUUCCAAGAAUAGUUAGUUAUUAGUUAUUUUUGUCCGCGGUUGAAUAAAAAAAUUAUACACCAAUUAAACACAAAAAUUAUGAACUAUUUUAUUUUUUAAAGGAAAUUAAUAAACUAUUUUAGUCUUGCAUAUAAAAGUUGCAAGGAAUAAUAUCAUGAAUGCUUCACUUUUUUGUUUGUGUUUUAGAGUUGGGCAUGUCAUUUUCUCAUUGAGAUAUAGAAAAAGAGAAAAAUAUGUAUAAAUUGAUAGUGUAAGAGAUUUUUACACUAUCAUUACAUAAAUUUUAUAUCAUAAAAAUAUCUAAUUGUAUAUUUGAAUUUGAAAUACCUUCAACUUUUUUGGUAAGGAACUAAUUCUUUUCCGGGUUCGUGACUGUUGUUCCAACUAGUGUUAUCCCAAGGAUUUGAACCCUUUAUUUUAGGGAUCCAAUUUUACACCACUAAAUCCAACGUAUUUCUUGAUUUAUCUAAGCCAUUUACUUCAAUCUUAUAAAUUUUACACUUAAUGACUCAAAUAUUUACUUCACAUCGCUGAAAGCUCGAAUUGGGAAUAAUGUUAGGUUUCAAAUAGGAACAAUCUAGUGGCUCAUUGCCAUCUACUUUUUUUUACAGUGCUAGUCAAUUAGACAAUAUCACAUUGUUAAUUAAAAAUACUUGGUUAUUAUGACAAGCAUUUAAAAAACUAUAUAUCAACUUUCUAUCAUUAAAUUAUAAUUAUGUUUGUACAUAAGAUAAAUUUUGGGUGAAUAACAAUGGGUGAAUAAGAUUUUCCUAAAUUAGCAACUCAUGUGAUAUAGUGACAGGUCAUAUUUGGCAGCACCUUAUCAUCACAACAAGUGGAUGAGUUGGAAUGUCUAGAACCAUUGAAAUUGGAUAAAGGAGUGUACGAUUUUAUAUAAGGUAGAGAUUUCAUCAAAACAUGUGACCCUAUGGUUGCAAGCACCAAUUACUUGAGUCUUUCAUGUUAUCAAAAUAUUAUCUUCAACGCAUGUAAGCUUUUGUAACGUGUGGAUAUGUAGCCAGCCACAAAACUUCACAUAAUCUCCUUCAUUUAAACUUGACCCUAUGGUUGGGCAAAUUUACUCCAUAGGUGCACCUUGACUGAAAUAUUACAGUCUUGAUACACCUUUAAAGUUAUUUGUUAUUUUGGUGCACUUUUAAAGGAAUCAUCAAUGUUGGUGCCGAGUUUCUUUUUCUUUUUAUUAACUCCCUCAUAACUCGUUCUUACCAUUGCCGAUUUGGGUUAUUUAAUAUAUUUUUGAACUCGUCCAUUUCUGUAAUAUAUGCAUUAUAUAUCAUACGAAAAGGAAAAUAAAGGAAUGGAAUUGAAAGGAAGGGAGACAGAAAAUAAAGGAGCAUAUUUCCCUUGUUUUGUACCAUGCAACCAUUAUAAAAUAAAAUAGUAAAUACUCAUUUUAGUCUCUUAUGUUUUUCGAUUUUACAAACUUGGUCUCUGAAAAAUUGAAAAACUCAAAAUGGUACCCAAAAUUUUUAAAUGUGGGUCAAAUUAAUCCCUAACAGAUGGUAAAACAUGCUAAAAACGAC
RNAcentral lists this long non-coding RNA (2913 nucleotides) under Lupinus angustifolius (narrow-leaved blue lupine). RNAcentral's name for it is "long non-coding RNA (LANG_LNC000023)". The record is from RNAcentral. Lineage: Eukaryota; Viridiplantae; Streptophyta; Magnoliopsida; Fabales; Fabaceae.